This 531-nucleotide long non-coding RNA is filed under the name Monodelphis domestica (gray short-tailed opossum). RNAcentral describes it as "lncRNA (ENSMODG00000044272.1)". The record is from RNAcentral. Lineage: Eukaryota; Metazoa; Chordata; Mammalia; Didelphimorphia; Didelphidae.
AUGUCUAGAGUGCUCAAGCACAGAGCUAGACACUGCAGAUCUCGAGACAAAACGAACCCCCCCCCGACGUCAGCGAGCAUAAUUGUACUGAAGCUUACGUGGUACCAAGUCUGCACAUCCAGGGCGAGCUAUGAUUCAACUCCGAGGCUCCAGCUUGUCAGGAUCCUGCCGCUGUCAUUCACUGCCUGCUGGCCUUCCCCAUCUUGUCUCCUCAGCACAUUUGAUGAGUCCUAAUCCAGAUCAUUAACAAACACUUAAAACAGGCCAGGGCCAGGAGCACAAAGAAGCCCAGGACACUGUCUUUGAGUUGGCUAUCCCACUCGCUCCCAAUCCAUCGCGGCAUAGUGCUUGUUGCCUAGUCUCCAUCUCCAUCUCUGCCAGAACACUAGCUGAUAAGGCAAUCCAGGCGGGACAUGCAUCUUACCUACUCUUCUAGUCAGCCUGUCCGGAAAGGAAAGGAGCCCAGGAGCUCCACUUGAAAGCGCUUGCAAGCCCAGGCCCUUCAAAUAAAAAACCAGCUGCCUAAACCCA